AGGAAUAGCAAGCAACUGCGAUUGCUUCAGUAAUGGCGAAUGAACUGGCAACACACAGGCUCAGCCUGAAUGGAAUCCAGCUGCACCAGCGUGUGCACUCGGCUCUUGUGUGAUUCAGCAGAUGCUGUGGGUUGAUGGAGUGGGUGGCGAGUCUGGUCAGGCCAUGCACCAAGAAUGUCCCUGGAAUGGGCAACGACACAAGGAUACUGUCCUGUAUGGUGCUGUGUGACGUGGCUUGGCUUGGCUAUGCUGCCUACAUCCAAGAGUAGAGUUGCUUGGGACUGCAGUUUGAAGAGCGUGGUGUAUCCUACGCAAGGCAGAAUACUGACAUGGAACCGAUAGCGCACAAGUAGAGUGAUUGAAGGAUGCAAAGCACCUUGCAAAGGGGGUUCAACGUCCCUGAAGCCUCAGCAGGAACGGCGGAGAGUGGUGUUGUGGCUUUCUGGUCGCUAUCAGGCAACCAGUCCAGUUGUGGUUCUGGCCCAGCGCCAACCCACUGGCUGGCUCGUCCUGAGACCAGGGUCCUCAGGGACCAAAUGUUGGAAUCCAAGCAACCCUGGGCUGGCCCAGAGCUGGCUACUGAGCUCCAUCCAAGAUGUUGGAAUGCAUAUCGUGGCAGUUCGUGGUGACACUCAGCUUCCCUGAGCCCGAGGGUGACAGAUCAGAGAUAUCACACCGAGUCGCAAGGCAGUUCUCCAAGAGGAGACAGUUGUGAAGAGCUAUGCCAAACCUGCUUCGUCUUCGGACGUUGCAGUGCACUGGGCCUUGAUAUGUUGAAGCUAUGCCAUGCUGCCUGUUGGCUGCAUCGUCUUGACGAUGGCUCACUGGUGGUGGAAGCUUUGCAGAGAGCGUUCAGUGCAGAAGGCAGCUGAGCUUGGUCUCAGGACCACUCUCUGCCCGUCUUGAAACACGGACCAAGGAGUCUAUGGAGCAAGCAUAUCUGAUGGUGUUAUCAGCAAAACCACUUGAUGUGGUGAAGGCAACAAACCCAGAUGGUGCAACUGUUGUUGUGUGAGACAGGGAGCAGUCGGCAAGGCCUCUGGCCACGCUGCAUCUGGCAUUGGCAUGUGGAACUCUGUGCUGGAGCCAGAACUCCCCGAGACAAAACUCAGUGUGAUGCUGCAUGGGACACCAGUCCCGAAGUCCAUUGGACAGGGUUCUGAGUGAAUGCAUGGUCCAUGGGACCCGAAAGGUGGUGAACUAUACCGUGCCAUGGCGAAGCUGUGGGAAACUGCAGUGGAAGCCAGAAGCUGUUCUGACGUGCAAAUUGUGUAGCCUGAGCGCGGCAUAGGGGUGAAAGGCCAAUCGAGCCACCUAGUAGC
The sequence is a ribosomal RNA, 1322 nucleotides long. It matches the Rfam family "Eukaryotic large subunit ribosomal RNA", at positions 54 to 951 of the family's 3401-position model.